AGGAGAGAACUUGACGAUGAUGAUGACUCUUGAUUUUAUGAGGUGCAUGUGUUUCUUUGAGCAUCUCUAGAGAAAAUAAUGCUCGUGGACCUGGAUAUCGGUUUGUAAAUCGUCGUUGUAUUUUUAAAUCACAACUUUCUUUGUGUUGAGCCCAAAACAAACAGUGAGUUGAUUGAGUUGUGCGGCAAAUUUAUAUGUAUAUAUAUGUGGAUGAUUAUAAGUUGGCAGAGAUACUUUAAGAGAGAGAUGAUAUGUAUGAAAAAACAUGUGUGACUUUGUUGUGUA
Molecule: long non-coding RNA, 285 nt
Organism: Asparagus officinalis (garden asparagus)
Lineage: Eukaryota; Viridiplantae; Streptophyta; Magnoliopsida; Asparagales; Asparagaceae
Exons: 2
Source: RefSeq, a predicted model, not a curated record